CCUACGGGUGGCUGCAGUAACGAAUCUUCCGCAAUGCACGCAAGUGUGACGGAGCGACGCCGCGUGGAGGUUAAGUCCUUCGGGAUGUAAACUCCUGUCAGGGGUAAUUGCCCCAGAGGAAGGCACGGCUAACUCUGUGCCAGCAGCCGCGGUAAUACAGAGGUGCCGAGCGUUAGGCGGAAUCACUGGGCUUAAAGCGCGCGUAGGCGGACGGGUAAGUACCUUGUGAAAUCCCACGGCUCAACCGUGGAACGGCUGGGUAUACUGCCCGUCUUGAGGCACUCAGGGGCGAGCGGAACAAAUGGUGGAGCGGUGAAAUGCGUAGAUAUCAUUUGGAACGCCGACGGUGAAAACAGCUCGCUGGGGGUGCCUGACGCUGAGGCGCGAAAGCCAGGGGAGCGAACGGGAUUAGAUACCCUUGUAGUC
RNAcentral lists this ribosomal RNA (426 nucleotides) under uncultured bacterium. RNAcentral's name for it is "partial 16S ribosomal RNA". It matches the Rfam family "Bacterial small subunit ribosomal RNA", at positions 338 to 795 of the family's 1533-position model. The record is from RNAcentral.